GUGUCCCCCGGUGCCCCAUCCCGAGCGAGGGGUCCAUCACCGGCGGUGCCUCCCGAGCCAGGAGCGAAGGAAGGCGGCGAUGCGCACCGUGUUGUUUUGUCCCUGUCAGCAGUGAGGGGCCAUGAAAAGCCCAGGGGACGGGCAGGAGUCCCCAUGGAGCUGUGCAGGACAGGAGGAUGGAGCCUGGACAUCGGGAUGCUGGUUGUAGGCUCAGCUUGGAGCAGGGGCUGCCUGAGACUCCUCACUGGGGGUAGAGAAUCUGCAGCCUCCCCACGGGGGCAGAACUCACCUCUCCUCCUCUCCUGAGGGAAGGACAACACCCAGACAAGGAUGUGAUUCCCAGGAAACAACGAUUGAGAUCCAGGUUUAACAGAACUCCCAGUCCUUCCCUUCCAGCCUCUUCUGUCUGCAAAUGUUUUCCCAACACUGAUUGAUCUGAGCACAGUUAUCUGGUGCAGAGUUGGAGAUGAAGGUUCUGAUGGAGCUUGAUUGAAUUGCCAAAAACCUGUUCGCUCAGUUAUGGCUCUGACAAAUGGAUCCAUCUGAGCUGCUGAGUUUAAUGUGUUUUUUUUUUAAAUUUAGUACCAGCAUGUUCUUGUUCUGGGCUGGCAAGGGAGUGAAAGCCAAGGGGAAGGUGUCCAAAUAGCAUAAUUUUGUCCUGGUUCAAAACAAGGGCUUGUCAAGAGGAAAGUUGAAGGUCAUUUGGGUUAAACCCAAAUUUAAAAAAAAAAAAAUAAAAGGAUUGUGUUCUCGUCUUUUUGUCUCUUCUCUGCAUUUUAAAGAAACAGCAGUAUUUUUCAGAGGGCAAAUAGUUGCUGAAACGUUUCCAACUUGUUUCUAGAACGCUUGCAGGAUGCUUUUCCUCAAAGCAUCACCAAAGGAGAGAUCUGGAGUCACCUACUCAGGUUUGCCAGCAAGAAUUAAGCCCAGGGGCCACCUCUGCAUGGCCAGUGAGGACCAGGGCAAGGGAUGGGGUCAUGAUGCCCAGUGUGGCUGCACCCCAUGGUAUAAAAUGAGAGGCAGAGGAAAUGUGGUGCUCUAUUACCUUCAAAGAGUUUGGAAAUGCAAAAAAGUUCUCCUCAACAGAAAUAGUUCUUUUGACAUCAUUCCUCUUCUAAAUGGUUUCAAGAUGAAUUCCAAGGAGAAUUUCACAAAAGAAAAAGAAAGGCCAUUCAUCGAACAUUUGUUUCUUAAAAACCUGCAGCUGAUCUAUAAUGUAUUGCCAUGUCGGCAUCUGAAAUAAAAUUAUAACAAUUUUACACUA
Long non-coding RNA from Corapipo altera (White-ruffed manakin), 1264 nucleotides. RefSeq lists it as uncharacterized. Lineage: Eukaryota; Metazoa; Chordata; Aves; Passeriformes; Pipridae. The record is from RefSeq and is a predicted model, not a curated record. The transcript has 2 exons.